AAAAAGGCAAACCAUAGGUUCCCGUGCCAACGUUUGACUAUCUAUCUUAUAUGAAAUUUUUUUAUAAUUAAUAUUUUCAUUGUUGUUAGAUGAUAAAACAUGAUUAAUACUUUAUGAGUGACUUAUCUUUUUAAUUUUUUUUCAUAUUUUUUUUAAAUAAGACGGACGGACGGUAAAACGUUGGACACGGAAAUCAGUGUUUGUUUUUUUU
Non-coding RNA from Oryza barthii, 211 nucleotides. NCBI's taxonomy places the organism in Eukaryota, Viridiplantae, Streptophyta, Magnoliopsida, Poales, Poaceae. The record is from Rfam.